This 587-nucleotide ribosomal RNA is filed under the name uncultured beta proteobacterium. RNAcentral's name for it is "bacterial SSU rRNA". It matches the Rfam family "Bacterial small subunit ribosomal RNA", at positions 338 to 916 of the family's 1533-position model. Lineage: Bacteria; Pseudomonadati; Pseudomonadota; Betaproteobacteria. The record is from RNAcentral.
CCUACGGGAGGCAGCAGUGGGGAAUUUUGGACAAUGGGGGAAACCCUGAUCCAGCCAUGCCGCGUGAGUGAAGAAGGCCUUCGGGUUGUAAAGCUCUUUCGGCUGGGAAGAAAUCGCACAGGCUAAUACUCUGUGUGGAUGACGGUACCAGCACAAGAAGCACCGGCUAACUACGUGCCAGCAGCCGCGGUAAUACGUAGGGUGCGAGCGUUAAUCGGAAUUACUGGGCGUAAAGCGUGCGCAGGCGGUUGUGCAAGACAGAUGUGAAAUCCCCGGGCUCAACCUGGGAACUGCAUUUGUGACUGCACGACUAGAGUACGGCAGAGGGGGGUAGAAUUCCACGUGUAGCAGUGAAAUGCGUAGAGAUGUGGAGGAAUACCGAUGGCGAAGGCAGCCCCCUGGGUCGAUACUGACGCUCAUGCACGAAAGCGUGGGGAGCAAACAGGAUUAGAUACCCUGGUAGUCCACGCCCUAAACGAUGUCAACUAGUUGUUGGUAGGGUUAAACCUAUUAGUAACGUAGCUAACGCGUGAAGUUGACCGCCUGGGGAGUACGGUCGCAAGAUUAAAACUCAAAGGAAUUGACGG